Molecule: ribosomal RNA, 253 nt
Filed under: uncultured bacterium
Lineage: Bacteria
Description: partial 16S ribosomal RNA
Rfam family: Bacterial small subunit ribosomal RNA
Source: RNAcentral
UACGUAGGGACCGAGCGUUGUCCGGAUUCAUUGGGCGUAAAGAGCUCGUAGGCGGCCACUCAAGUCGAAUGUGAAACCUCGAGGCUUAACCUCGAGCCUGCAUUCGAUACUGGGCGGCUAGAGUCUGGUAGGGGGAUCUGGAAUUCCUGGUGUAGCGGUGGAAUGCGCAGAUAUCAGGAGGAACACCGGUGGCGAAGGCGGGAUCCUGGACCAAUAUUGACGCUGAGGAGCGAAAGCCAGGGGAGCAAACGGG